Molecule: ribosomal RNA, 496 nt
Filed under: uncultured bacterium
Lineage: Bacteria
Description: partial 16S ribosomal RNA
Rfam family: Bacterial small subunit ribosomal RNA
Source: RNAcentral
GAUGAACGCUGGCGGCGUGCCUAAUACAUGCAAGUCGAGCGAACAGACGAGGAGCUUGCUCCUCUGACGUUAGCGGCGGACGGGUGAGUAACACGUGGAUAACCUACCUAUAAGACUGGGAUAACUUCGGGAAACCGGAGCUAAUCCCGGAUAAUAUAUUGAACCGCAUGGUUCAAUAGUGAAAGACGGUUUUGCUGUCACUUAUAGAUGGAUCCGCGCCGCAUUAGCUAGUUGUUAAGUUAACGGCUUACCAAGGCAACGAUGCGUAGCCGACCUGAGAGGGUGAUCGGCCACACUGGAACUGAGACACGGUCCAGACUCCUACGGGAGGCAGCAGUAGGGAAUCUUCCGCAAUGGGCGAAAGCCUGACGGAGCAACGCCGCGUGAGUGAUGAAGGUCUUCGGAUCGUAAAACUCUGUUAUUAGGGAAGAACAAAUGUGUAAGUAACGAUGCACGUCUUGACGGUACCUAAUCAGAAAGCCACGGCUAACUACGU